RNAcentral lists this ribosomal RNA (2924 nucleotides) under Escherichia coli. Its description in RNAcentral is "23S ribosomal RNA". It matches the Rfam family "Bacterial large subunit ribosomal RNA". The record is from RNAcentral. Lineage: Bacteria; Pseudomonadati; Pseudomonadota; Gammaproteobacteria; Enterobacterales; Enterobacteriaceae.
GGGUUGUGAGGUUAAGCGACUAAGCGUACACGGUGGAUGCCCUGGCAGUCAGAGGCGAUGAAGGACGUGCUAAUCUGCGAUAAGCGUCGGUAAGGUGAUAUGAACCGUUAUAACCGGCGAUUUCCGAAUGGGGAAACCCAGUGUGUUUCGACACACUAUCAUUAACUGAAUCCAUAGGUUAAUGAGGCGAACCGGGGGAACUGAAACAUCUAAGUACCCCGAGGAAAAGAAAUCAACCGAGAUUCCCCCAGUAGCGGCGAGCGAACGGGGAGGAGCCCAGAGCCUGAAUCAGUGUGUGUGUUAGUGGAAGCGUCUGGAAAGGCGCGCGAUACAGGGUGACAGCCCCGUACACAAAAAUGCACAUGCUGUGAGCUCGAUGAGUAGGGCGGGACACGUGGUAUCCUGUCUGAAUAUGGGGGGACCAUCCUCCAAGGCUAAAUACUCCUGACUGACCGAUAGUGAACCAGUACCGUGAGGGAAAGGCGAAAAGAACCCCGGCGAGGGGAGUGAAAAAGAACCUGAAACCGUGUACGUACAAGCAGUGGGAGCACGCUUAGGCGUGUGACUGCGUACCUUUUGUAUAAUGGGUCAGCGACUUAUAUUCUGUAGCAAGGUUAACCGAAUAGGGGAGCCGAAGGGAAACCGAGUCUUAACUGGGCGUUAAGUUGCAGGGUAUAGACCCGAAACCCGGUGAUCUAGCCAUGGGCAGGUUGAAGGUUGGGUAACACUAACUGGAGGACCGAACCGACUAAUGUUGAAAAAUUAGCGGAUGACUUGUGGCUGGGGGUGAAAGGCCAAUCAAACCGGGAGAUAGCUGGUUCUCCCCGAAAGCUAUUUAGGUAGCGCCUCGUGAAUUCAUCUCCGGGGGUAGAGCACUGUUUCGGCAAGGGGGUCAUCCCGACUUACCAACCCGAUGCAAACUGCGAAUACCGGAGAAUGUUAUCACGGGAGACACACGGCGGGUGCUAACGUCCGUCGUGAAGAGGGAAACAACCCAGACCGCCAGCUAAGGUCCCAAAGUCAUGGUUAAGUGGGAAACGAUGUGGGAAGGCCCAGACAGCCAGGAUGUUGGCUUAGAAGCAGCCAUCAUUUAAAGAAAGCGUAAUAGCUCACUGGUCGAGUCGGCCUGCGCGGAAGAUGUAACGGGGCUAAACCAUGCACCGAAGCUGCGGCAGCGACACUGUGUGUUGUUGGGUAGGGGAGCGUUCUGUAAGCCUGUGAAGGUGUGCUGUGAGGCAUGCUGGAGGUAUCAGAAGUGCGAAUGCUGACAUAAGUAACGAUAAAGCGGGUGAAAAGCCCGCUCGCCGGAAGACCAAGGGUUCCUGUCCAACGUUAAUCGGGGCAGGGUGAGUCGACCCCUAAGGCGAGGCCGAAAGGCGUAGUCGAUGGGAAACAGGUUAAUAUUCCUGUACUUGGUGUUACUGCGAAGGGGGGACGGAGAAGGCUAUGUUGGCCGGGCGACGGUUGUCCCGGUUUAAGCGUGUAGGCUGGUUUUCCAGGCAAAUCCGGAAAAUCAAGGCUGAGGCGUGAUGACGAGGCACUACGGUGCUGAAGCAACAAAUGCCCUGCUUCCAGGAAAAGCCUCUAAGCAUCAGGUAACAUCAAAUCGUACCCCAAACCGACACAGGUGGUCAGGUAGAGAAUACCAAGGCGCUUGAGAGAACUCGGGUGAAGGAACUAGGCAAAAUGGUGCCGUAACUUCGGGAGAAGGCACGCUGAUAUGUAGGUGAAGUCCCUCGCGGAUGGAGCUGAAAUCAGUCGAAGAUACCAGCUGGCUGCAACUGUUUAUUAAAAACACAGCACUGUGCAAACACGAAAGUGGACGUAUACGGUGUGACGCCUGCCCGGUGCCGGAAGGUUAAUUGAUGGGGUUAGCGCAAGCGAAGCUCUUGAUCGAAGCCCCGGUAAACGGCGGCCGUAACUAUAACGGUCCUAAGGUAGCGAAAUUCCUUGUCGGGUAAGUUCCGACCUGCACGAAUGGCGUAAUGAUGGCCAGGCUGUCUCCACCCGAGACUCAGUGAAAUUGAACUCGCUGUGAAGAUGCAGUGUACCCGCGGCAAGACGGAAAGACCCCGUGAACCUUUACUAUAGCUUGACACUGAACAUUGAGCCUUGAUGUGUAGGAUAGGUGGGAGGCUUUGAAGUGUGGACGCCAGUCUGCAUGGAGCCGACCUUGAAAUACCACCCUUUAAUGUUUGAUGUUCUAACGUUGACCCGUAAUCCGGGUUGCGGACAGUGUCUGGUGGGUAGUUUGACUGGGGCGGUCUCCUCCUAAAGAGUAACGGAGGAGCACGAAGGUUGGCUAAUCCUGGUCGGACAUCAGGAGGUUAGUGCAAUGGCAUAAGCCAGCUUGACUGCGAGCGUGACGGCGCGAGCAGGUGCGAAAGCAGGUCAUAGUGAUCCGGUGGUUCUGAAUGGAAGGGCCAUCGCUCAACGGAUAAAAGGUACUCCGGGGAUAACAGGCUGAUACCGCCCAAGAGUUCAUAUCGACGGCGGUGUUUGGCACCUCGAUGUCGGCUCAUCACAUCCUGGGGCUGAAGUAGGUCCCAAGGGUAUGGCUGUUCGCCAUUUAAAGUGGUACGCGAGCUGGGUUUAGAACGUCGUGAGACAGUUCGGUCCCUAUCUGCCGUGGGCGCUGGAGAACUGAGGGGGGCUGCUCCUAGUACGAGAGGACCGGAGUGGACGCAUCACUGGUGUUCGGGUUGUCAUGCCAAUGGCACUGCCCGGUAGCUAAAUGCGGAAGAGAUAAGUGCUGAAAGCAUCUAAGCACGAAACUUGCCCCGAGAUGAGUUCUCCCUGACUCCUUGAGAGUCCUGAAGGAACGUUGAAGACGACGACGUUGAUAGGCCGGGUGUGUAAGCGCAGCGAUGCGUUGAGCUAACCGGUACUAAUGAACCGUGAGGCUUAACCUUACAACGCCGAAG